RNAcentral lists this ribosomal RNA (207 nucleotides) under uncultured bacterium. RNAcentral describes it as "partial 16S ribosomal RNA". It matches the Rfam family "Bacterial small subunit ribosomal RNA", at positions 568 to 774 of the family's 1533-position model. The record is from RNAcentral.
CACGUAGGCGGCGAGGUGUGUCGGAUGUGAAAGCCCUCGGCUUAACCGAGGAAGUGCAUCAGAAACUGCCUGGCUUGAGUACGGGAGAGGGUAGCGGAAUUCCCGGUGUAGAGGUGAAAUUCGUAGAUAUCGGGAGGAACACCAGUGGCGAAGGCGGCUACCUGGACCGAUACUGACGCUGAGGUGCGAAAGCGUGGGGAGCAAACA